Molecule: long non-coding RNA, 1250 nt
Organism: Brassica napus (rape)
Lineage: Eukaryota; Viridiplantae; Streptophyta; Magnoliopsida; Brassicales; Brassicaceae
Exons: 2
Source: RefSeq, a predicted model, not a curated record
AUAAAAUUUCAAAAGUCUAACAUUAUUAAUUUAUAGAGGGUCUAUUGUAUAUAACGAAUCACUGGGAAGAAUAACUCUUUGAUUUUUAAAUUUUUUAAAAAAAUAGUUUGCAAACUAAUUUUCUCUUUUUAGCUAUUUCACAACAUCAAGCAGAAAUUUUGAAAAAUAAAACAAAAUCUUGCAACUCUUUAUUUUAUUUUUUUAUUUUUUAUUUUUGUAACUGACAACUCUUUAUUUGCGUGUGUACAAUACUAAAUAACUAAAAAUAUAAAAUAAUUCAUGGUGAUUUUUGUGUUAUGACAGCACUGAUAUUAUUUAAUAUGUUUCUGUAUAAUUUUAGUAAAAACUGGGACACAGUAAUAUUACAGUGAUUUCAUUUGGGGUUUGGUUUAAUAAUGAAUUUGGACGAUAUCAAAAGGCAAUAAUAAUCAACUGCAAAAGGUUAAGAGCCAAAUAAACAACAAAAUAAAUAAUACUCCCUCCGUUUUUUAUUGUAAGUAGUUUUAUUUAAAAACACGAAUAUUUAGAAAAUUGUUAUUUAAAAGAAUAUAUCAUUUAACCAAUUAAUUUAACAAAUUAUUAAAAACCUAACAUUAUUUCAUUGGUCACACGAUAUCCAAUAAAUGAAAAAGAUGCAUUGAAAUAUGUAAAUCACUUAUAAUGUGAAACAAAUUCUUUUGCUAAAACUAUUUACGUUUAGAAAGUGAGUACUAAAAUCAGAGAAUGGGUAAACAAAUGGAUACUACUUGUUGGGACCCACAAGAACUAAAACGGUGGAGAAAUCCGUCGUUUCUGGUGGUAUAAAAGGAGGAGUCCUAUCGACUCUGCAAAGAGAUAGCUCGCUCGCUUCAUCUAAUAUUUACUCGUCCUUCUCCUCUCUCUCUCGAGUGAAACGGCGGACAUAUCUAUCGUUUAUAGUGCAACUUCGGCGCCGUCGUUUGGAGGGGAAAGAUGAGUCUCGAGGAUAUCAAGAACGAGACUGUUGAUCUGAAUUAAACAAAGGGAAGUAGUGGAGGAAGUAGGAGAAGUGGCCAUAUCACUUACCAAAUGGGGAGGAGUGGCUAGUCCACUACUAGUUAGUGGAGGAAGUGGGAGGAGUGGCCAUAUCACUUACCAAAUGGGGAGGAGUGGCUAGUCCACUACUAGUUAUUUAUUCUUCCACCAUUGAGUGCUUAUUGCUUUUGUUUCCUUUAAAUACACCAUGUAUGUUACACAAUUAAACACACAAUUCAAUACAAACAUUUCUUUCA